This 528-nucleotide ribosomal RNA is filed under the name Bacillus sp. A20(2015). RNAcentral describes it as "bacterial SSU rRNA". It matches the Rfam family "Bacterial small subunit ribosomal RNA", at positions 103 to 616 of the family's 1533-position model. The record is from RNAcentral. Lineage: Bacteria; Bacillati; Bacillota; Bacilli; Caryophanales; Bacillaceae.
CGGGUGAGUAACACGUGGGUAACCUGCCCAUAAGACUGGGAUAACUCCGGGAAACCGGGGCUAAUACCGGAUAACAUUUUGAACUGCAUGGUUCGAAAUUGAAAGGCGGCUUCGGCUGUCACUUAUGGAUGGACCCGCGUCGCAUUAGCUAGUUGGUGAGGUAACGGCUCACCAAGGCAACGAUGCGUAGCCGACCUGAGAGGGUGAUCGGCCACACUGGGACUGAGACACGGCCCAGACUCCUACGGGAGGCAGCAGUAGGGAAUCUUCCGCAAUGGACGAAAGUCUGACGGAGCAACGCCGCGUGAGUGAUGAAGGCUUUCGGGUCGUAAAACUCUGUUGUUAGGGAAGAACAAGUGCUAGUUGAAUAAGCUGGCACCUUGACGGUACCUAACCAGAAAGCCACGGCUAACUACGUGCCAGCAGCCGCGGUAAUACGUAGGUGGCAAGCGUUAUCCGGAAUUAUUGGGCGUAAAGCGCGCGCAGGUGGUUUCUUAAGUCUGAUGUGAAAGCCCACGGCUCAACCGU